RNAcentral lists this transfer RNA (67 nucleotides) under Marmota monax (woodchuck). RNAcentral's name for it is "tRNA.Undet". The record is from RNAcentral. Lineage: Eukaryota; Metazoa; Chordata; Mammalia; Rodentia; Sciuridae.
GGAGAUGUCACUCAGUGGUAGAGCACUUGCCUAGCAGUACAUGGCCUGGGUUCAAUCCCCAGCACCA